UGUGGGAGCGAGCUUGCUCGCGAUGAGGCCGUGUCAGUCGAUGGAGAUUUCGACUGAUAGAUUGCUAUCGCGAGCAAGCUCGCUCCCACA
Molecule: unclassified non-coding RNA, 90 nt
Filed under: Pseudomonas prosekii
Lineage: Bacteria; Pseudomonadati; Pseudomonadota; Gammaproteobacteria; Pseudomonadales; Pseudomonadaceae
Source: RNAcentral